CAAGACUUCUCCAAGGAGGUGGACUUGGAUCUCAGCCUUAAGAGAUGAGUAGAAGUUUGCCAAAGAUGGAGAGCAUCCCAAACAGAACAGAGAUGACCAGGUCAAGAACUUCACGGUGGCAAGUCCCUGGAUACCUGCUGGGCUGAGCAGAAGGAAGCGUCUCCCACCCCCUGCCCUGCUCAACUUCAAGUACUGGGAACCCCCAGCAACAGCAGUCCCACUGGCAGGCAGUGUCUGGAAUCAGUCCUGCUGACCCAAACCAGAUGUGAGCCAUAUUUGGGUCUCUGUGGGACCAGGCUACCACACAUCACACUGAGUCCUCGAGGAAUAUGGAGAGAGGAGAGGGAGUGCUCCCUCUCUCAGAAGUUUCAGCAGUGGGGUCCUCACCCAUGAGUCUGCUUUCAGCAAUUAUGAUGAAUUCCAGAAUCCAGCCUAGGAAGCACACGAAACGAACACCGGCCAUCUGAAUUCAGCAAACUCAUGUAUUUGGAUGCUCGAAAGCAGCAGUCAUCUAUCAAAGGAAGUGUAUUGGACUAAAUGGAGAGAUUUUUAAUAAGAGGCAAGGGGGUGCACUUUCCCUAAUAAAAAGAGCAGAGAG
This 598-nucleotide long non-coding RNA is filed under the name Equus asinus (donkey). Its description in RNAcentral is "lncRNA (ENSEASG00005025227.1)". The record is from RNAcentral. Lineage: Eukaryota; Metazoa; Chordata; Mammalia; Perissodactyla; Equidae.